RNAcentral lists this ribosomal RNA (436 nucleotides) under uncultured Glomus. RNAcentral's name for it is "SSU rRNA". It matches the Rfam family "Eukaryotic small subunit ribosomal RNA", at positions 569 to 1011 of the family's 1831-position model. Lineage: Eukaryota; Fungi; Glomeromycota; Glomeromycetes; Glomerales; Glomeraceae. The record is from RNAcentral.
AGCAGCCGCGGUAAUUCCAGCUCCAAUAGCGUAUAUUAAAGUUGCUGCAGUUAAAAAGCUCGUAGUUGAAUUUCGGGACUAAUAUGUCGGUCGUGCCUCGGUACGUACUGGCUUAUUGGUUUCUCCUUUCUGAAGAACCAUGAUGUCAUUUAUUUGGUGUCGUGGGGAAUCAGGACUGUUACUUUGAAAAAUUAGAGUGUUUAAAGCAGGCUCACGCUUGAAUACAUUAGCAUGGAAUAAUGAAAUAGGACGUUUGAUUCUAUUUUGUUGGUUUCUAGGAUCGACGUAAUGAUUAAUAGGGAUAGUUGGGGCAUUAGUAUUCAAUUGUCAGAGGUGAAAUUCUUGGAUUUAUUGAAGACUAACUACUGCGAAAGCAUUUGCCAAGGAUUGUUUUCAUUAAUACAAGAACGAAAGUUAGGGGAUCGAAGACGAUCAG